Molecule: transfer RNA, 77 nt
Filed under: Cabomba caroliniana
Lineage: Eukaryota; Viridiplantae; Streptophyta; Magnoliopsida; Nymphaeales; Cabombaceae
Description: tRNA-Ile
Source: RNAcentral
UUAUUAUUAUUAUAUUUAAUUUUAUAUUUAUUAUUUAUAUUUAAUUAUAUGAUUAUAAUUAUAAUUUAUAUAAUUAU